This 916-nucleotide ribosomal RNA is filed under the name Escherichia coli. RNAcentral describes it as "partial 23S ribosomal RNA". It matches the Rfam family "Bacterial large subunit ribosomal RNA", at positions 609 to 1529 of the family's 2925-position model. The record is from RNAcentral. Lineage: Bacteria; Pseudomonadati; Pseudomonadota; Gammaproteobacteria; Enterobacterales; Enterobacteriaceae.
UGUAUAAUGGGUCAGCGACUUAUAUUCUGUAGCAAGGUUAACCGAAUAGGGGAGCCGAAGGGAAACCGAGUCUUAACUGGGCGUUAAGUUGCAGGGUAUAGACCCGAAACCCGGUGAUCUAGCCAUGGGCAGGUUGAAGGUUGGGUAACACUAACUGGAGGACCGAACCGACUAAUGUUGAAAAAUUAGCGGAUGACUUGUGGCUGGGGGUGAAAGGCCAAUCAAACCGGGAGAUAGCUGGUUCUCCCCGAAAGCUAUUUAGGUAGCGCCUCGUGAAUUCAUCUCCGGGGGUAGAGCACUGUUUCGGCAAGGGGGUCAUCCCGACUUACCAACCCGAUGCAAACUGCGAAUACCGGAGAAUGUUAUCACGGGAGACACACGGCGGGUGCUAACGUCCGUCGUGAAGAGGGAAACAACCCAGACCGCCAGCUAAGGUCCCAAAGUCAUGGUUAAGUGGGAAACGAUGUGGGAAGGCCCAGACAGCCAGGAUGUUGGCUUAGAAGCAGCCAUCAUUUAAAGAAAGCGUAAUAGCUCACUGGUCGAGUCGGCCUGCGCGGAAGAUGUAACGGGGCUAAACCAUGCACCGAAGCUGCGGCAGCGACGCUUAUGCGUUGUUGGGUAGGGGAGCGUUCUGUAAGCCUGUGAAGGUGUACUGUGAGGUAUGCUGGAGGUAUCAGAAGUGCGAAUGCUGACAUAAGUAACGAUAAAGCGGGUGAAAAGCCCGCUCGCCGGAAGACCAAGGGUUCCUGUCCAACGUUAAUCGGGGCAGGGUGAGUCGACCCCUAAGGCGAGGCCGAAAGGCGUAGUCGAUGGGAAACAGGUUAAUAUUCCUGUACUUGGUGUUACUGCGAAGGGGGGACGGAGAAGGCUAUGUUGGCCGGGCGACGGUUGUCCCGGUUUAAGCGUGUAGGCUGGU